UCCUCCGUGGCCGACAUAGAAAGGCACCUGUCUUGUAAACAGGCCCAUGUGGGCGCGAACCCCACCGGAGGACCCA
RNAcentral lists this transfer RNA (76 nucleotides) under Verrucomicrobiaceae bacterium. RNAcentral's name for it is "tRNA-Thr". It matches the Rfam family "tRNA". Rfam says of the family: Transfer RNA (tRNA) molecules are approximately 80 nucleotides in length. RNAcentral also lists the same sequence under 1 other name. Lineage: Bacteria; Pseudomonadati; Verrucomicrobiota; Verrucomicrobiia; Verrucomicrobiales; Verrucomicrobiaceae. The record is from RNAcentral.